AUGCGUCCGCCGUAUGAUAAGAUGGAUCCCAUCGAUCCUUGCCUUCUCAGCUUCCUCAGCCACCAUGGCAUCGACGGCGCCUUCGAGAUCCUGUCUUCCCCCGGCGAUCCGGCAGCGGAGGAGACGAAGGAUGCCUUCCAGAAGAUCGUCAGUGAUUUCUGUAGAACGCCUCGGGCCGUGGACGUGGAAGGCAUGGCAGAUGGAAACACAGGGAAAGUGGUAACAACUAAACAUCAUCUCCAUCCAUCCAUAUGCCGUUGGCUGAAUGCGCUCCUUGGCGGUGAAGAGAAACCUAGCGCCAUGAAAAGAGAGCACGGGCCUGCUGAAGGCGAGCAGGAUCCAAAGAAGCCAAGAACAGCAGAAGGCUCAUGCAUGUGA
RNAcentral lists this ribosomal RNA (378 nucleotides) under Triticum aestivum (bread wheat). RNAcentral's name for it is "partial small subunit ribosomal RNA". Lineage: Eukaryota; Viridiplantae; Streptophyta; Magnoliopsida; Poales; Poaceae. The record is from RNAcentral.